This 113-nucleotide Y RNA is filed under the name Propithecus coquereli (Coquerel's sifaka). RNAcentral's name for it is "Y RNA (ENSPCOG00000010522.1)". It matches the Rfam family "Y RNA". From Rfam's summary of the family: Y RNAs are components of the Ro ribonucleoprotein particle (Ro RNP), in association with Ro60 and La proteins. The Y RNAs and Ro60 and La proteins are well conserved, but the function of the Ro RNP is not known. Lineage: Eukaryota; Metazoa; Chordata; Mammalia; Primates; Indriidae. The record is from Rfam by way of RNAcentral.
GGCUGUUUCGAAGGUAGUGAGUUAUCUCACUUGAUUGUUCAGUCAGUUACAGAUUGAACUCCUUGUUCUACUACUUAACCGCCCUCCUCACUACUGCACUUGACUAGUCUUUA